AACGAACGCUGGCGGCAUGCCUAACACAUGCAAGUCGAACGAGACCUUCGGGUCUAGUGGCGCACGGGUGCGUAACGCGUGGGAACCUGCCCUUAGGUUCGGAAUAACUCCCCGAAAGGGGUGCUAAUACCGGAUAAUGUCUUCGGACCAAAGAUUUAUCGCCUUUGGAUGGGCCCGCGUUGGAUUAGCUAGUUGGUAGGGUAAAAGCCUACCAAGGCGACGAUCCAUAGCUGGUCUGAGAGGAUGAUCAGCCACACUGGGACUGAGACACGGCCCAGACUCCUACGGGAGGCAGCAGUGGGGAAUAUUGGACAAUGGGCGAAAGCCUGAUCCAGCAAUGCCGCGUGAGUGAUGAAGGCCUUAGGGUUGUAAAGCUCUUUUACCCGGGAUGAUAGUGACAGUACCGGGAGAAUAAGCUCCGGCUAACUCCGGG
This 433-nucleotide ribosomal RNA is filed under the name uncultured bacterium. Its description in RNAcentral is "partial 16S ribosomal RNA". It matches the Rfam family "Bacterial small subunit ribosomal RNA", at positions 29 to 507 of the family's 1533-position model. The record is from RNAcentral.